Molecule: long non-coding RNA, 346 nt
Filed under: Salvia miltiorrhiza (redroot sage)
Lineage: Eukaryota; Viridiplantae; Streptophyta; Magnoliopsida; Lamiales; Lamiaceae
Description: long non-coding RNA (SMIL_LNC002479)
Source: RNAcentral
UUUCUCUCUUUCAUUUUAGUCUCUCUGUCUCUCUCCCUCGCAUUGUUCUACUCCGCGGCAGCGCCGCUCUCUGUCUCUCUCUUUCACGUGUCCUGCCUCUCCAUGUUGCCGCCCUCGUCGGCUUGCCCCACCCCUUCGUCUCUCAGUCUCCCUCAUCUCCUCUUUCGAAGCACCGCUGCCUUCGCCGACUCGCCCAGCCUUAUGGGCGACUACUAAAAUAUUUAGCGGAAACUUCGUCUUCUUCACUUCCUAUCGCCUCCUCUGCAUACACACGGAACAGAGAAGAAGCAUCCUCAUUACCUUGGGCCAAUUGCUCUUUUCUGCCUAAUUUGGGCGAAAGAUCUUA